Ostrea edulis (European flat oyster) is the source of this 864-nucleotide long non-coding RNA. RefSeq lists it as uncharacterized. Lineage: Eukaryota; Metazoa; Mollusca; Bivalvia; Ostreida; Ostreidae. The record is from RefSeq and is a predicted model, not a curated record. The transcript is spliced from 3 exons.
UAGAGACCGAUAGCAACCACGUGAUCAGUAAAAAUCGUGUAUUUUCACGUGAAAUUAUUUUUCGGAAUUCCGUACAUCGCCAUAGAGUAGUUGAAAAACAAAAAGGGGUUCCGAAAGUACAAGUUGUUGCUGUGACUGAAUCGAUGAUUGAGAGGGUCGUCUCGACGAAAGAUAUAGAAAUUUGGCCAUAGUUUAGAUUAGUAAUACAUCAAUGUAAUAAUAGUGGACUAAAUGUUUCGUCCGUGCAGAAUGGCACUUUUUACCUCACGAAAUUCACCACCAUGCAUAGCUGCGCUACGUAAACAAAGUUGUUGAUGUAGCGUGAUCGUGAUGUCCGAGUGCUGCGAGUUUCAAUACUGUUUAUGUAGUCAUUGAGAGUUUAAACAAAGUUUCUUCUGAGAAGAGGAAUUCGAUGGAUGCAUUUAACGUGGACAACGAAAUCAUAAUUUCGUUUGCAUCAUCCUAAGGACCAGUGCAAGUUGAAAUGGGCUUCCAACCAACAACUUCAACAGCAAUUUGCCAUGAAAAUCAGCAAGAAAGGUACUUCAUUUACAUUGAUGAUGUCAUAUCCCCUGGACCCCACAACUUUACAGGUUACAGAGAAAAUUCAAGAACUUCUGCACAAUGUGGGACUCGGAUAGAAUCAAUAAUGUAUUUGUGAGCCCAGAUAUAUUGUGCAACAUACUAAAGUGUGAAUUUAAUGGAAAACAAGUACAUGUACUCAUGUAUUACAUGUCUUUUUUAAAGACAAUAAUAUUGUAUAAAUAUAGAGGAAGUGUCAUUGUUGAUUAUUCUAAGUUUUUGAUAUACCAAAAUCAGUAAACAUUUGUAAAUGAAAAUAAAAUACCAAUUUUAUAACUUUAA